Molecule: ribosomal RNA, 448 nt
Filed under: Wolbachia pipientis
Lineage: Bacteria; Pseudomonadati; Pseudomonadota; Alphaproteobacteria; Rickettsiales; Anaplasmataceae
Description: bacterial SSU rRNA
Rfam family: Bacterial small subunit ribosomal RNA
Source: RNAcentral
GGUAUGCAACGCGUUGGGCGGUGUCCCGCGCGGACGUUUAGGCCCCUCUCUGCAUGGCGCGGUAGCGACUGGGGGUACCGGUACUUCCCAGGUGUUUCCUGGCGGUUGUCAGGUGAGCAGUUGAGAGCUCAGGUGAGGUGCGGCGGCGAGCGCAACCCUCAUCGUUAGUUGGCAUCAGGUAAUGCUGAGUAUUCUAUGGAAGCUGCCCAUGAUAAGCUGGAAGAAGGUGGGGAUGAUGUCAAGUCAUCAUGGCCUUUAUGGAGUGGGCUACACACGUGCUACAAUGGUGUCUACAAUGGGCUGCAAGGUGCGCAAGCAUAAGCUAAUCCCUAAAAGACAUCUCAGUUCGGAUUGUACUCUGCAACUCGAGUACAUGAAGUUGGAAUCGCUAGUAAUCGUGGAUCAGCAUGCCACGGUGAAUAAGCUUUGGGUAAUGACACACUGCUCG